AGUGACCAGUGGUUCUGCUGUUCGGUCGAUUUGCAUAUUAGCCUUUUAUUAUAUAUGAUGAUGAUAAGAGUUGUUCUCUUAAGUUCCUUAAAAAUUCUAUAGUUAACUGCAACUCAUUGGCCUUUCCAGAGAUAACACAAUCUGAAAUAAUUCAAAUCCCACCACCACAGUCCUUUUUAAAAUUUCUUUGACAAAUGCAAAGGACAUACCCAUCUUCCAGUUAAAUUUCCUUUUGAGUCCGACAAGAAAUCAAGAAACAAAGAAAAAGGUAUAGUGAUCCAGCUAGACCGUGAUUUAUAGUGUUUGGAAAACAGUUUACUUAAUGAGGAAGUAGCAUAAAAGUUUGCUUAUCUUGGUCACAGGUAUUAUAAUUCAUAUCCCUAAAGGGUAGAGAGAAAAAUCAUUCUUUUCCAGGAAAGACAAUCCUAUAUAAUAAGAGGCUAAUAUGCAAAUUGUCCCGACUGAGAGACAGACCUGGAAUUCAACUGGAUGGGGCUGGCCAACUGCCCACGGCCCCUCUCCCAGCCAGCACUGCCCCCGAUUGCCCCCCCCCCAACCCUGAUUGCGGCUCCUCCCCCUGGUCAGUCUGGCCCAAUUGGCCCUGAUCAGGGCGGGCCGGCCAGACCCCACCUGUGCACAAAUUCAUGCACUGGGCCUCUAGUAAUACCAUAAAGCUCCUUCCCUCUUGCUUAGCCUGAUACUAUAUAUUCACCUGAUACUAUAUGUUUACAAUGAAAAUAAUUCUGCGGGUGCAGGUCCUCACACAGAUGCCCGCAACCCCUGCUUUCAAAAUCUUAUACUCAGAGACAACACCUAACAGGCUACCUGGCUCAAUCCUUACUGGAUAGCAGACAACCUACCUUCCUAGGGCAGUUUCCUCAUCAUUUCAUGCCCCUCAUCAGCCCACCACUUCCAUUUCCCUUCCUCACCCACAUUUACACAAGAGUUCUGAGGCAUGAGACACUUGUGAGAGUGAAUCACAUCCACUACCCCCUGGUAGAGCUGAACAAGCACUAGUCACUCAAAAAUACCCUUCCCUGGCCUGAUUCCUGGAUUUAAUUUCCUAAUGAAGUGAUCAUUCCUUCAAGAUGGAGGAUCAGAAGCAUUUCAAUGGCUGUGUGUAGUUCUCAUUUACUUCAUCAAAGGUUCUUUGGACAUGGUCAAGCCUACAGGUACAUGUAGUAGAGGAGAUACUUUGGGGGAAAUGCCUCCUUUAGCCACUCUAGCAGAUGUCAAAAUGGGGGAGAGAAGGAGUGGGCAAUUUCUCUCUCCACAUAUACAAAUAUUCACCCUUUCUGGCCACCCAUGCAGGGACCUUAUAAGCAGAAGUCCUUGUCAGGAAACUUUAGUCACUCUCAGGUAACUCUACCUUCAAGAUCAUCCUUCUACCUCAUUCAUGUGAGGACAGCACAGUACUCUCAGUACAGUGCUUCUCAAACUACAAAGUGCUUAUGAAUCCCCUGGGGACUUGGUGGAAAUGCAGAUUCAAAUUUAAUAAGUGUGGGGUAGACUCUAUGCCUACAUUUCUAACAUGCCUUCAAUGGACACUGAUGCUGCCGAUUGCAAACCACGCUGGAGUAGCAAGGUCCGCGUCUCUUUCCUCUCCCAGAACUGGAGCACAUUAUACCUUAAGGUCUCUUUGUGGCUGGUUAUCCACCAAAA
Molecule: long non-coding RNA, 1662 nt
Organism: Myotis brandtii (Brandt's bat)
Lineage: Eukaryota; Metazoa; Chordata; Mammalia; Chiroptera; Vespertilionidae
Exons: 2
Source: RefSeq, a predicted model, not a curated record